GGGGGUGUAGCUCAGUGGUAGAGCGCUCGCUUCGCAUGUGAGAAGUCCCGGGUUCAAACCCCGCACCUCCA
RNAcentral lists this transfer RNA (71 nucleotides) under Rhipicephalus sanguineus (brown dog tick). RNAcentral's name for it is "transfer RNA alanine (anticodon CGC)". It matches the Rfam family "tRNA". From Rfam's summary of the family: Transfer RNA (tRNA) molecules are approximately 80 nucleotides in length. Lineage: Eukaryota; Metazoa; Arthropoda; Arachnida; Ixodida; Ixodidae. The record is from Rfam by way of RNAcentral.